RNAcentral lists this ribosomal RNA (466 nucleotides) under uncultured bacterium. Its description in RNAcentral is "partial 16S ribosomal RNA". It matches the Rfam family "Bacterial small subunit ribosomal RNA", at positions 28 to 507 of the family's 1533-position model. The record is from RNAcentral.
GAUGAACGCUGGCGGCGUGCUUAACACAUGCAAGUCGAACGAUGAAGCCCAGCUUGCUGGGUGGAUUAGUGGCGAACGGGUGAGUAACACGUGAGUAACCUGCCCUUAACUCUGGGAUAAGCCUGGGAAACUAGGUCUAAUACCGGAUAGGAGCGCCUACCGCAUGGUGGGUGUUGGAAAGAUUUAUCGGUUUUGGAUGGACUCGCGGCCUAUCAGCUUGUUGGUGAGGUAAUGGCUCACCAAGGCGACGACGGGUAGCCGGCCUGAGAGGGUGACCGGCCACACUGGGACUGAGACACGGCCCAGACUCCUACGGGAGGCAGCAGUGGGGAAUAUUGCACAAUGGGCGAAAGCCUGAUGCAGCGACGCCGCGUGAGGGAUGACGGCCUUUGGGUUGUAAACCUCUUUCAGUAGGGAAGAAGCGAAAGUGACGGUACCUGCAGAAGAAGCACCGGCUAACUACGUG